This 492-nucleotide ribosomal RNA is filed under the name uncultured bacterium. RNAcentral describes it as "partial 16S ribosomal RNA". It matches the Rfam family "Bacterial small subunit ribosomal RNA", at positions 29 to 507 of the family's 1533-position model. The record is from RNAcentral.
AGUGAACGCUGGCGGUAGGCCUAACACAUGCAAGUCGAACGGCAGCACAGUAAGAGCUUGCUCUUACGGGUGGCGAGUGGCGGACGGGUGAGGAAUACAUCGGAAUCUACUUUUUCGUGGGGGAUAACGUAGGGAAACUUACGAUAAUACCGCAUACGACCUACGGGUGAAAGCAGGGGAUCUUCGGACCUUGCGCGAUUGAAUGAGCUGAUGUCGGAUUAGCUAGUUGGCGGGGUAAAGGCCCACCAAGGCGACGAUCCGUAGCUGGUCUGAGAGGAUGAUCAGCCACACUGGAACUGAGACACGGUCCAGACUCCUACGGGAGGCAGCAGUGGGGAAUAUUGGACAAUGGGCGCAAGCCUGAUCCAGCCAUACCGCGUGAGUGAAGAAGGCCUUCGGGUUGUAAAGCCCUUUUAUUGGGAAAGAAAAACAGCAGGUUAAUACCCCGCUGUUCUGACGGUACCCAAAGAAUAAGCACCGGCUAACUUCGUG